GAUGAACGCUGGCGGCGUGCCUAAUACAUGCAAGUCGAGCGAACAGACGAGGAGCUUGCUCCUUCGACGUUAGCGGCGGACGGGUGAGUAACACGUAGGUAACCUACCUAUAAGACUGGGAUAACUUCGGGAAACCGGGGCUAAUACCGGAUAAUAUUUCGAACCGCAUGGUUCGAUAGUGAAAGAUGGCUUUGCUAUCACUUAUAGAUGGACCUGCGCCGUAUUAGCUAGUUGGUAAGGUAACGGCUUACCAAGGCAACGAUACGUAGCCGACCUGAGAGGGUGAUCGGCCACACUGGAACUGAGACACGGUCCAGACUCCUACGGGAGGCAGCAGUAGGGAAUCUUCCGCAAUGGGCGAAAGCCUGACGGAGCAACGCCGCGUGAGUGAUGAAGGUCUUCGGAUCGUAAAACUCUGUUAUUAGGGAAGAACAAACGUGUAAGUAACUGUGCACGUCUUGACGGUACCUAAUCAGAAAGCCACGGCUAACUACGUG
This 497-nucleotide ribosomal RNA is filed under the name uncultured bacterium. RNAcentral describes it as "partial 16S ribosomal RNA". It matches the Rfam family "Bacterial small subunit ribosomal RNA", at positions 28 to 507 of the family's 1533-position model. The record is from RNAcentral.